GAUGAACGCUGACAGAAUGCUUAACACAUGCAAGUCUUUGGCGAAGCUGUGCUUGCACAGCCUAGCCAAGGCGGACGGGUGAGUAACGCGUAAGGAACUUGCCCUGCAGUCAGGGAUAACAGACGGAAACGACUGAUAAGACCUGGUAAAGUCAGGCGGACUCAUGUCCAGCCUGAUGAAAAGAGAUGCUGCAGGAGAGCCUUGCGUCCUAUUAGCUUGUUGGUGGGGUAACGGCCCACCAAGGCGAUGAUAGGUAGCCGGCCUGAGAGGGUGGACGGCCACAAGGGGACUGAGAUACGGCCGUUACUCCUACGGGAGGCAGCAGUGGGGAAUAUUGGACAAUGGGGGCAACCCUGAUACAGCAAUUCUGUGUGCAAGAUGAAGGUUUUCGGAUUGUAAAGUGCUUUCAGCAGGGAAGAAAAAAAUGACGGUACCUGCAGAAGAAGCGACGGCUAAAUACGUG
This 463-nucleotide ribosomal RNA is filed under the name uncultured bacterium. RNAcentral describes it as "partial 16S ribosomal RNA". It matches the Rfam family "Bacterial small subunit ribosomal RNA", at positions 28 to 507 of the family's 1533-position model. The record is from RNAcentral.